Acanthosepion pharaonis is the source of this 81-nucleotide non-coding RNA. Lineage: Eukaryota; Metazoa; Mollusca; Cephalopoda; Sepiida; Sepiidae. The record is from the annotation of a GenBank genome assembly.
GUACGAUCACCGAAGUUAAGCAACGUCGAUACUGAUCAGUACUUAGAUGGGUGACCCUUUGGGAUUACCAGGUGUUGUAAG